RNAcentral lists this ribosomal RNA (432 nucleotides) under uncultured bacterium. Its description in RNAcentral is "partial 16S ribosomal RNA". It matches the Rfam family "Bacterial small subunit ribosomal RNA", at positions 29 to 507 of the family's 1533-position model. The record is from RNAcentral.
ACGAACGCUGGCGGCAGGCCUAACACAUGCAAGUCGAGCGGACCCUUCGGGGUUAGCGGCGGACGGGUGAGUAACGCGUGGGAAUAUGCCCUUCUCUACGGAAUAGUCCUGGGAAACUGGGGGUAAUACCGACUCGGCCUUUGGGGGGAAAGGUUUUUCGGGGAGGGAUUGGCCGGCGUUGGAUUGGGUAGUUGGUGGGGUAAUGGCCUACCAAGCCGACGAUCCAUAGCUGGUUGGGGAGGAUGAUCAGCCACACUGGGACUGAGACACGGCCCAGACUCCUACGGGAGGCAGCAGUGGGGAAUCUUAGACAAUGGGGGCAACCCUGAUCUAGCCAUGCCGCGUGAGUGAUGAAGGCCUUAGGGUUGUAAAGCUCUUUCAGCUGGGAAGAUAAUGACGGUACCAGCAGAAGAAGCCCCGGCUAACUCCGUG